RNAcentral lists this ribosomal RNA (2476 nucleotides) under Shigella flexneri. RNAcentral's name for it is "partial 23S ribosomal RNA". It matches the Rfam family "Bacterial large subunit ribosomal RNA", at positions 333 to 2797 of the family's 2925-position model. The record is from RNAcentral. Lineage: Bacteria; Pseudomonadati; Pseudomonadota; Gammaproteobacteria; Enterobacterales; Enterobacteriaceae.
UGGAAGCGUCUGGAAAGGCGUGCGAUACAGGGUGACAGCCCCGUACACAAAAAUGCACAUACUGUGAGCUCGAUGAGUAGGGCGGGACACGUGGUAUCCUGUCUGAAUAUGGGGGGACCAUCCUCCAAGGCUAAAUACUCCUGACUGACCGAUAGUGAACCAGUACCGUGAGGGAAAGGCGAAAAGAACCCCGGCGAGGGGAGUGAAAAAGAACCUGAAACCGUGUACGUACAAGCAGUGGGAGCACGCUUAGGCGUGUGACUGCGUACCUUUUGUAUAAUGGGUCAGCGACUUAUAUUCUGUAGCAAGGUUAACCGAAUAGGGGAGCCGAAGGGAAACCGAGUCUUAACUGGGCGUUAAGUUGCAGGGUAUAGACCCGAAACCCGGUGAUCUAGCCAUGGGCAGGUUGAAGGUUGGGUAACACUAACUGGAGGACCGAACCGACUAAUGUUGAAAAAUUAGCGGAUGACUUGUGGCUGGGGGUGAAAGGCCAAUCAAACCGGGAGAUAGCUGGUUCUCCCCGAAAGCUAUUUAGGUAGCGCCUCGUGAAUUCAUCUCCGGGGGUAGAGCACUGUUUCGGCAAGGGGGUCAUCCCGACUUACCAACCCGAUGCAAACUGCGAAUACCGGAGAAUGUUAUCACGGGAGACACACGGCGGGUGCUAACGUCCGUCGUGAAGAGGGAAACAACCCAGACCGCCAGCUAAGGUCCCAAAGUCAUGGUUAAGUGGGAAACGAUGUGGGAAGGCCCAGACAGCCAGGAUGUUGGCUUAGAAGCAGCCAUCAUUUAAAGAAAGCGUAAUAGCUCACUGGUCGAGUCGGCCUGCGCGGAAGAUGUAACGGGGCUAAACCAUGCACCGAAGCUGCGGCAGCGACGCUUAUGCGUUGUUGGGUAGGGGAGCGUUCUGUAAGCCUGUGAAGGUGUGCUGUGAGGUAUGCUGGAGGUAUCAGAAGUGCGAAUGCUGACAUAAGUAACGAUAAAGCGGGUGAAAAGCCCGCUCGCCGGAAGACCAAGGGUUCCUGUCCAACGUUAAUCGGGGCAGGGUGAGUCGACCCCUAAGGCGAGGCCGAAAGGCGUAGUCGAUGGGAAACAGGUUAAUAUUCCUGUACUUGGUGUUACUGCGAAGGGGGGACGGAGAAGGCUAUGUUGGCCGGGCGACGGUUGUCCCGGUUUAAGCGUGUAGGCUGGUUUUCCAGGCAAAUCCGGAAAAUCAAGGCCGAGGCGUGAUGACGAGGCACUACGGUGCUGAAGCAACAAAUGCCCUGCUUCCAGGAAAAGCCUCUAAGCAUCAGGUAACAUCAAAUCGUACCCCAAACCGACACAGGUGGUCAGGUAGAGAAUACCAAGGCGCUUGAGAGAACUCGGGUGAAGGAACUAGGCAAAAUGGUGCCGUAACUUCGGGAGAAGGCACGCUGAUACGUAGGUGAAGCGACUUGCUCGUGGAGCUGAAAUCAGUCGAAGAUACCAGCUGGCUGCAACUGUUUAUUAAAAACACAGCACUGUGCAAACACGAAAGUGGACGUAUACGGUGUGACGCCUGCCCGGUGCCGGAAGGUUAAUUGAUGGGGUUAGCGCAAGCGAAGCUCUUGAUCGAAGCCCCGGUAAACGGCGGCCGUAACUAUAACGGUCCUAAGGUAGCGAAAUUCCUUGUCGGGUAAGUUCCGACCUGCACGAAUGGCGUAAUGAUGGCCAGGCUGUCUCCACCCGAGACUCAGUGAAAUUGAACUCGCUGUGAAGAUGCAGUGUACCCGCGGCAAGACGGAAAGACCCCGUGAACCUUUACUAUAGCUUGACACUGAACAUUGAGCCUUGAUGUGUAGGAUAGGUGGGAGGCUUUGAAGUGUGGACGCCAGUCUGCAUGGAGCCGACCUUGAAAUACCACCCUUUAAUGUUUGAUGUUCUAACGUGGACCCGUGAUCCGGGUUGCGGACAGUGUCUGGUGGGUAGUUUGACUGGGGCGGUCUCCUCCUAAAGAGUAACGGAGGAGCACGAAGGUUGGCUAAUCCUGGUCGGACAUCAGGAGGUUAGUGCAAUGGCAUAAGCCAGCUUGACUGCGAGCGUGACGGCGCGAGCAGGUGCGAAAGCAGGUCAUAGUGAUCCGGUGGUUCUGAAUGGAAGGGCCAUCGCUCAACGGAUAAAAGGUACUCCGGGGAUAACAGGCUGAUACCGCCCAAGAGUUCAUAUCGACGGCGGUGUUUGGCACCUCGAUGUCGGCUCAUCACAUCCUGGGGCUGAAGUAGGUCCCAAGGGUAUGGCUGUUCGCCAUUUAAAGUGGUACGCGAGCUGGGUUUAGAACGUCGUGAGACAGUUCGGUCCCUAUCUGCCGUGGGCGCUGGAGAACUGAGGGGGGCUGCUCCUAGUACGAGAGGACCGGAGUGGACGCAUCACUGGUGUUCGGGUUGUCAUGCCAAUGGCACUGCCCGGUAGCUAAAUGCGGAAGAGAUAAGUGCUGAAAGCAUCUAAGCACGAAACUUGC